UACGGAGGGUGCAAGCGUUAUCCGGAUUCACUGGGUUUAAAGGGUGCGUAGGUGGGUAAGUAAGUCAGUGGUGAAAUCUCCGGGCUUAACCCGGAAACUGCCAUUGAUACUAUUUGUCUUGAAUACUGUGGAGGUCAGCGGAAUAUGUCAUGUAGCGGUGAAAUGCUUAGAUAUGACAUAGAACACCAAUUGCGAAGGCAGCUGGCUACACAAAUAUUGACACUGAGGCACGAAAGCGAGGGGAUCAAACAGG
Molecule: ribosomal RNA, 253 nt
Filed under: uncultured bacterium
Lineage: Bacteria
Description: partial 16S ribosomal RNA
Rfam family: Bacterial small subunit ribosomal RNA
Source: RNAcentral